Molecule: ribosomal RNA, 437 nt
Filed under: uncultured bacterium
Lineage: Bacteria
Description: bacterial SSU rRNA
Rfam family: Bacterial small subunit ribosomal RNA
Source: RNAcentral
CACGGGUGAGUAACGCGUAGAUAACCUGUCUUCAUGUCUGGAAUAAUACGCCGAAAGGGGUCUAAUACCGGAGUAUCUUGCUUUUCAUAAGUUAUGCAAGCAAAGGUGGCCUCUGCAUAUGGCUACUGCAUGAAGAGGGGUCUGCGUACCAUUAGCUAGUAGGUGGGGUAAUGGCCUACCUAGGCGACGAUGGUUAGCGGGUCUGAGAGGAUGAUCCGCCACACUGGCACUGGAACACGGGCCAGACUCCUACGGGAGGCAGCAGUGAGGAAUAUUGCGCAAUGGGGGAAACCCUGACGCAGCGACGCCGCGUGAGUGAGGAAGGCCUUCGGGUCGUAAAGCUCUGUCAAGAGGAAAGAAGUGUACAAUGGCUAAUACCUGUUGUAUUUGACGGUACCUCUAAAGGAAGCACCGGCUAACUCCGUGCCAGCCGCCGC